This 71-nucleotide transfer RNA is filed under the name Bos taurus (domestic cattle). It matches the Rfam family "tRNA". Rfam says of the family: Transfer RNA (tRNA) molecules are approximately 80 nucleotides in length. Their secondary structure includes four short double-helical elements and three loops (D, anti-codon, and T loops). The record is from Rfam by way of RNAcentral. Lineage: Eukaryota; Metazoa; Chordata; Mammalia; Artiodactyla; Bovidae. RNAcentral also lists the same sequence under 2 other names.
UCCCUGUUGGCUCAGAUGGUAAAGAUUCUGCCUGCAAUGCAGGAGACCUGGGUUCGAUACCUGACUGGGAA